Molecule: long non-coding RNA, 686 nt
Filed under: Zea mays
Lineage: Eukaryota; Viridiplantae; Streptophyta; Magnoliopsida; Poales; Poaceae
Description: long non-coding RNA NONZMAT003354
Source: RNAcentral
AACGUAAAACACAUCGACAGGACCAUUUAUUAUGUAACAACCAAAAGGCAACACAUGGUUCAGAUCUCAAAAAUAAGAAACCUGUCAUUUCAUAUCCGUGAACCCAUAAAUGAUAUACAAAAUACGAUAAUGAGCGACACAAUGAUGGUCAGGAUGUUAAAAAGAUCCAUCAUUCAUGUCGCACACAUCAAUCAAGAACGAUGUCAUAAAUAUAACAAAGAUGGCAGAUGCCAUGCCAUAAAUCAUGUCAAUAUAUGUGCAUGUUGAACCAAUAACAGAAAACACAAUUGAAAAAACAAAAUCAUCAGAACACUUGGCUUCUGCUAUAAAAAUGCUUCUUAUGCUUCUUUGUAGCCUAUACAUAGUUCCUCCAUAUGCUUUUAUGAUUCCCGAAAGAAAUAGGAUAAGUGAGAUGAAAAUGAAAGAAUACAGUCCAAAACUUUAGUAACUUACUUCUUUAUCCUCUAACAUUUCUUUAGAACAAUUAUUAUACAUUUCUAGUACCACAAUCGAGCCAUACAAAAAUUUUAAAGCCCAAUGUUUUCCUGUUUACCCCAUGAAAAAGGAAGAACACGAUGCCAAAUAAGUGCACACACACACAAUGGAUAGAAACUUGACUGAGUUCAGCUACAUGCAUCUCCAUGGAUACCCUCAAUUCCAUUUCUGCUAUAAAUUGUAAAGUAAGU